RNAcentral lists this transfer RNA (69 nucleotides) under Leocrates chinensis. RNAcentral's name for it is "tRNA-Gln". It matches the Rfam family "tRNA". Rfam says of the family: Transfer RNA (tRNA) molecules are approximately 80 nucleotides in length. Lineage: Eukaryota; Metazoa; Annelida; Polychaeta; Phyllodocida; Hesionidae. The record is from RNAcentral.
UAUAAGUUAGUGUAUGGUGCACGAUAGCCUUUGAAGCUACAAGAUAAAGUUCAACUCUUUCACUUAUAA